Molecule: long non-coding RNA, 311 nt
Filed under: dengue virus type 1
Lineage: Riboviria; Orthornavirae; Kitrinoviricota; Flasuviricetes; Amarillovirales; Flaviviridae
Description: Dengue virus 1 partial sfRNA1
Rfam family: Flavivirus DB element (bases 233-304)
Source: RNAcentral
AAGAAGUCAGGCCGGAUUAAGCCAUAGUACGGUAAAAGCUAUGCUGCCUGUGAGCCCCGUCUAAGGACGUAAAAUGAAGUCAGGCCGAAAGCCACGGCUUGAGCAAACCGUGCUGCCUGUAGCUCCAUCGUGGGGAUGUAAAAACCUGGGAGGCUGCAACCCAUGGAAGCUGUACGCAUGGGGUAGCAGACUAGUGGUUAGAGGAGACCCCUCCCGAAACAUAACGCAGCAGCGGGGCCCAACACCAGGGGAAGCUGUACCCUGGUGGUAAGGACUAGAGGUUAGAGGAGACCCCCCGCAUAACAAUAAAC